RNAcentral lists this ribosomal RNA (259 nucleotides) under uncultured bacterium. RNAcentral's name for it is "partial 16S ribosomal RNA". It matches the Rfam family "Bacterial small subunit ribosomal RNA", at positions 95 to 354 of the family's 1533-position model. The record is from RNAcentral.
UUGGCGGACGGGUGAGUAACGCGUGGGGAACCUGCCUUGCACCGGGGGAUAACACUUAGAAAUAGGUGCUAAUACCGCAUAAGCGCACAGAGCCGCAUGGCUCAGUGUGAAAAACUCCGGUGGUGCAAGAUGGACCCGCGUCUGAUUAGCUGGUUGGCGGGGUAACGGCCCACCAAGGCGACGAUCAGUAGCCGGCCUGAGAGGGUGAACGGCCACAUUGGGACUGAGACGCGGCCCAAACUCCUACGGAAGGCAGCAG